UCGAAAAGCUGAGGGCGGUUUUGGGUAUGUGAUUUCUUUUGUCCUUUUCUCCUUGGUGGUGUGGUAAGGUUGGUGAGAGUUUUUUAAUCAAUUUGAUUCCGGUAUUGAAAAUUAUAAUUUUUUAGAAGGGGCAGCCAUUAAAAUUUAAUGAUCUGGCAGCAUUAGCUGCAUUUUAGUAUUGGUUUAUGGGAUUAAGUUUUGGCAAUUCUGAUUAGGCAAUUUAUUCAUGCCAUAUAAUGAAAAUUGUUCUUUGUUAGUUUUAGUUGUUAGUUGUGUAUCAUGUACUUAUCUAUUAGUAUGUCAACAUUGGCAUAAUUGCUCUUUAUGGAGACUUAAAUUUUACAUCCAAUGAUUGCCAUUAGGACUUGCAUUACCUCUUCCAUGGCAAUGGUUUCUUGUUGCCAUAUUAUUGACUUUGCAGCGGUUUCAUCUUCUUCUACAAUCAUGCUUUAUGGAACUUAUUAAUUCUGGUUUGGUGUGGUCAGCUGCCAGUUGUUUUAUUUUAAUCAUGGUUUAUUUUGACCAUGUUUUUCUAUGGGGAAUGGACAUUGAUAUCUUCCUAUGUUGUCCCUUUAAUGGUAUAUUUGUGUACUUUUUUUUUAAAUCUUGUUGUUGAACUGAAGUUAUUGAAUAAAAAAGGGUGUUUAUUUGCACCAUAUGUUUGCUAUGCUAGCUCUUUCACUUACCUUCUUUUUGUGUAUUCUCCUUGGAUCAAAGUGUUGUUAUUUCCUUAAUGUUUCUGCCAUUCGUUUAUUCUGCCGCUUAUCAAUUUUAUUUUAAUAGCAAUUGCCAUUAUAUAUGUUUUUAUGGAUGUGAGGUAUAUUUGAAAUUAAUUAUUUGGUCUGUUUGAAGUUUCUUUUUUUAGCCAUUUGUCAAUAAAAUUUGCAGAAUUGAGAAUAGAGCACAGAUCUUGGGUUCUGAUUCUGCAAAAUUAACUUUAUUGUUUUCUCAUUUACUUUGUAGUUGAUUUUUAAUGGCUGCUGCCUUGUCUCUAGAUGACGUCAAGCCAGAGGAUUUUGGUCUUAGUCCGGAGAUGCCACAUUUUCGUGCACUUACUGCUGGGAGAACCCCUAAAAUAA
Molecule: unclassified non-coding RNA, 1079 nt
Filed under: Hevea brasiliensis (rubber tree)
Lineage: Eukaryota; Viridiplantae; Streptophyta; Magnoliopsida; Malpighiales; Euphorbiaceae
Source: RNAcentral